UGCUCCGACAUGACGCAUGUCGUGUCGGGAAAGAUUCUAUCGGUAUGGGAUGGGGUCGCGUCCUAUCAGCUUGAUGGCGGGGUAACGGCCCACCAUGGCUUCGACGGGUAGCCGGCCUGAGAGGGCGACCGGCCACAUUGGGACUGAGAUACGGCCCAGACUCCUACGGGAGGCAGCAGUGGGGAAUAUUGCACAAUGGGCGCACGCCUGAUGCAGCGACGCCGCGUGCGGGAUGACGGCCUUCGGGUUGUAAACCGCUUUUGAUCGGGAGCAAGCCUUCGGGUGAGUGUACCUUUCGAAUAAGCACCGGCUAACUACGUGCCAGCAGCCGCGGUAAUACGUAGGGUGCAAGCGUUAUCCGGAAUUAUUGGGCGUAAAGGGCUCGUAGGCGGUUCGUCGCGUCCGGUGUGAAAGUCCAUCGCUUAACGGUGGAUCUGCGCCGGGUACGGGCGGGCUGGAGUGCGGUAGGGGAGACUGGAAUUCCCGGUGUAACGGUGGAAUGUGCAGAUAUCGGGAAGAACACCAAUGGCGAAGGCAGGUCUCUGGGCCGUUACUGACGCUGAGGAGCGAAAGCGUGGGGAGCGAACAGGAUUAGAUACUCUGGUAGUCCACGCCGUAACCGGUGGAUGCUGGAUGUGGGGCCCUUUCCACGGGUCCUGUGUCGGAGCCAACGCGUUAAGCAUCCCGCCUGGGGAGUACGGCCGCAAGGCUAAAACUCAAAGAAAUUGACGGGGGCCCGCACAAGCGGCGGAGCAUGCGGAUUAAUUCGAUGCAACGCGAAGAACCUUACCUGGGCUUGACAUGUGCCGGAUCGCCCCGGAAACGGGGUUUCCCUUCGGGGCCGGUUCACAGGUGGUGCAUGGUCGUCGUCAGCUCGUGUCGUGAGAUGUUGGGUUAAGUCCCGCAACGAGCGCAACCCUCGCCGCAUGUUGCCAGCGGGUUAUGCCGGGAACUCAUGUGGGACCGCCGGGGUCAACUCGGAGGAAGGUGGGGAUGACGUCAGAUCAUCAUGCCCCUUACGUCCAGGGCUUCACGCAUGCUACAAUGGCCGGUACAACGCGAUGCGACACGGUGACGUGGGGCGGAUCGCUGAAAACCGGUCUCAGUUCGGAUCGCAGUCUGCAACUCGACUGCGUGAAGGCGGAGUCGCUAGUAAUCGCGGAUCAGCAACGC
This 1173-nucleotide ribosomal RNA is filed under the name uncultured Bifidobacterium sp. RNAcentral describes it as "bacterial SSU rRNA". It matches the Rfam family "Bacterial small subunit ribosomal RNA", at positions 173 to 1357 of the family's 1533-position model. The record is from RNAcentral. Lineage: Bacteria; Bacillati; Actinomycetota; Actinomycetes; Bifidobacteriales; Bifidobacteriaceae.